UACAGAGGGGGCAAGCGUUGUUCGGAAUUACUGGGCGUAAAGGGCGCGUAGGCGGCCCGCUAAGUCGAACGUGAAAAUCCCCCGAGCUCAACUCGGGAACUGCGUCCGAUACUGGCGGGCUUGAAUCCGGGAGAGGGAUGCGGAAUUCCAGGUGUAGCGGUGAAAUGCGUAGAUAUCUGGAGGAACACCGGUGGCGAAGGCGGCAUCCUGGACCGGUAUUGACGCUGAGGCGCGAAAAGCCAGGGGGAGCAAAACGGGG
RNAcentral lists this ribosomal RNA (259 nucleotides) under uncultured bacterium. Its description in RNAcentral is "partial 16S ribosomal RNA". It matches the Rfam family "Bacterial small subunit ribosomal RNA", at positions 524 to 778 of the family's 1533-position model. The record is from RNAcentral.